AUGUAUGUAUCUGGAAGUAUUUCAUUGCUAGAUGUAUAUCCAUUCAAGCGACAAGUAAUUCUAGAUGGAGGGAGUACAUCUUUUGUCAAGUAUUUAGGAACGGAGGGAGUAGAUAGGAUUAUCUUGUUCUUAUCUUCUUCUUCUCCUUCAGCCAGCACCACCACCACCUUCGGAGGCAGUAAACACCAGCAACCACAUGAUCACGACCCUGUGCAACCAGAGAUGGCACACAAUUGCUUCGGAAGUGGUAAGGCCACCACCCUUCCUUGCUUCCUGCAGUGCUUCAAUUUCCUUUUGGUUUGGUGUGGGGGUGCUGUGGUCCAUGUAGUUUGGAGGUGA
RNAcentral lists this ribosomal RNA (339 nucleotides) under Triticum aestivum (bread wheat). Its description in RNAcentral is "partial small subunit ribosomal RNA". Lineage: Eukaryota; Viridiplantae; Streptophyta; Magnoliopsida; Poales; Poaceae. The record is from RNAcentral.